CGGCGAUGGGACGGAGGUGGGUUGCACGGUGGGUGAGCGUGGGAGGAGAAGAACCGAAGCGUAAGGAAAUGGAGGUGGAACGAGACGAGAAGUGAUGUGCAGAGGAAAGAGUGGGAGAGAAAGAGGAGCGGAUUGGGGUCGUGAUGGAGAGAGUCGUCGCUGCCAUUGUCACUCUCUUCCUUCUCUCUCGCUCUGAAUGUGUAUGAGAUGAAGAAAGGCGAGGAUAAAAUGACAAAGGAUAAGGGGUAGUUUGGGCAAUAAAAUAUAUGCGUAUAAGUCUACUAUCAUGCGCUUAUGAACAUAGAAGAAAGUAAAAAGGAAGGGGCGUUCCGAGAAUCGAACUCGGGACCUCUCGCACCCAAAGCGAGAAUCAUACCACUAGACCAAACGCCCUUGUUGUUUUGUUUGCUUCUUAUAUAUUUGAUUUUGAAAAGAUACCAUGUAAAGGAAUGUAAUUACUUGGUAACCUCUUGUACAGUGUUUUGUAGUGAGACAUACCUUCACUUCAAGAGAAGCAUCGGUCUUCUAGAACUAAUAAUUUUGAAGGAAUGUAAUCACUUCGUAACCUCUUCUACAAUGUUGUUUGUGUGUUUAGCAUCGAUCUUCUAGAACAUUGUGAUACAAGCGAUGAAAUGGUUAAGGAUGCUGAAUACAGGUGGCAUAAAACGUACAUUCUUCAAACUUUAGAGAUAUCCAUUCCUAAUUUUAGCUACUUGAGCAUAUUAUACGUUCAAGCUUUUUGAAACAAUCACAAUACUUUUCCGAGCACUGGUAUAAACAUUGAGAAAACGUAAUAUGCGUUGUUUAGGUUGUAUUUACUAGCGGUCGUGACAAGUUUCAUAGACUUUCCUUUGAUGGUUUUAGCUCUUUAGAAUUGCUCCACUUCAUCGUAACCUUUCUUUAGUUGUUGUUGUAGUUUUGAAACUUUUGAUUGAGAAGUUACUACUAUAUGCACUGGUAGAAACAACAAAAGGUACUUAUAACCACAUUCUAAUCAAAUGCGUUUCAUCUUAUAACCACAUUCUCUUCUUGAAGAUUUAUUUUAUCACUAGACGAUGACAUACGUUGCUGAAGUUUUUUUUAAGGUGGCUACAUUACAGAACAAUGAGAUCACUAGGUCGAGCCUUUUAUAUACAUAUGUCACGUAACUUCGCGUGUGAGUGAGUGAGUGACUCAUUUCACACAGGUGCCAGUGGCUGAAUCAGUUGUAAGAAACGCAAACUGAUUCACAUUAUAAUAUUUUCUCAGAGCUGAAUCAAUAAUUUCAGACACAAACUAUGCUAAACAACAACACAACAAGAAACAAAUCAUACACAACUUCAAGAAAGAAAAAAACACUUUUACGCAAUGGAAACCUUAGCGCCAGCUUCUUCAAGCUGCUUCUUAGCUUCUUCAGCUUCAUCCUUAGUCACACCUUCCUUAAACUUCUUCGGCAACCCUUCGAUAAGCUCCUUCGCUUCCUUCAACGCCAAGCUAGUCAGAGCCCUAACCGCUUUGAUCACCGCGAUACGCGCAUUGCUAGGCACUUCGUUGAUGACCACAUCGAACUCCGUCUGCUCCUCCACCGCAGCCGCCGCACCAUCACCGCCUCCCGGAGCAGCCACAGCCGCUGCCGCGGGAGCUAAGGAGAGCGGCGAGACGCCGAACUUGUCCUGGAGGUAGUCCACGAGGAUGCGUGCUUCCUCGAGAGUGAGGGACGAGAUUUCGGAUCCGAUCUUCUCGAUUUUCUCCGGGGCCUCGACGGCGGCGAUGGGACGGAGGUUGGUUGAGCGGUGGGUUAGUGUCGGAGAAGAUGAACCGAGGCGAAAGGGAAAUGCGGUUGCGUUUGGUCGGGAAGGGAAGGUUUGGGGAGAAGCGGGAGUGAGGCGAGACGAGGAGAGGAUUGUGGUUGCGAUGGAAAGAGUCGUCG
This 1909-nucleotide long non-coding RNA is filed under the name Brassica rapa (field mustard). RNAcentral describes it as "long non-coding RNA (BRAP_LNC004658)". The record is from RNAcentral. Lineage: Eukaryota; Viridiplantae; Streptophyta; Magnoliopsida; Brassicales; Brassicaceae.